RNA transcript from Acanthochromis polyacanthus (spiny chromis), 2954 nucleotides. It is a transcript of the gene named GRIP and coiled-coil domain containing 1, with no coding region annotated. Lineage: Eukaryota; Metazoa; Chordata; Actinopteri; Pomacentridae. The transcript is spliced from 8 exons. The record is from RefSeq and is a predicted model, not a curated record.
UCAGUCCAACAUGGCGGCUGUUGACAGAUGAAGCACAGAGGAAGGAUUUUAAUCGAAAGGUUUCAUAUUUACGGGUUCUCAGGAGGUUGACUGCUGGGUUUCGGUUCGUUGAAGCUGCAGCCGGUUCGUCGAUUAGCUGAUUAUCCGGUCCUGUUCUGAUACUGAUGAAGAGGAUUCCAGUAUAAACCGGUCCUGAUCCAACUUCGGUGGACCCUGGUGGACCCUAGUGGACUGGAAGAGUCAUGGACAAGUUUGGGAUGAGUUUUGGCGGCGGUCCAAGCAGGAAGGAGCUGCUGGACACCGUGGAGUCCCAGAAGAAGCAGCUGGUCCAGUACCAGACCCGCUUCAAGGACGUGGUCCAGGCCUACAAGAGCCUGCUGAAGGAGAAGGAGGCUCUGGAGGCCAGUCUGAAGGUCCUGACGGCGACCCAGGAUGUGGACCUGAACCAGCAGGGCCGGGAUGCCCCGGAGCUCCCAGAGGACGGCUGCUCGCUGCACAGCGAGGACAGCGUGGAGACAGCAGCGUCCGUGGAGACGCCGAGCGAGACGGCCAGAGGGGACCAGAGCGAGGAGGACCAGGGAGAACCGGGACAGUCCAGUUCUACGCCUGACACCGGCGGCUCUGACAGCAGCGGCGUGGGGACGGAGCUGCAGCAGGCCACGCCCCCUCUCAGCACGGAGGCGGACCGCCGCGUCGCCCAUCUGAGGGGCCAACUGAGCACGCUCACUGGCGCCCUCGCUACGGUAACCCAGGAGAAGUCUCGCAUGGAAGCCAACUUCCUGGCCGACAAACGGCAGCUGAAACAGGAAGUGGAGGAGCUGCAGGAGCGGAUGGCUGUCAUGGCGACGCAGCAGGAGACGGAGCUGAACGCCCUGCAGCAGCAGGUGGCUGAGGCUCGCGCUCGCAUCAUCACACAGCAGCACGAGAGGGAGCAGGAGCAGGGAGACCAUGCCCAGCAGCUGAGGGAGCUGCAGAAGAUCCUGCAGCAGGAGAGAGACCUGCGACAGGACGCCGAGCUGCGCCUGCAGGACGCCAGCACCGCCCUCCUCAUGACAUCACAGGCUGUGGACCGGGGGGCGGAGUCCGAGGCGCACCUGAGCCAGGUGAGGGAGGAGAGGGACGAGCUGAGGAGGAGGCUGCAGGCCGCCGAGGACGAGCAGAAGAAACCGGAUCCCAGAGUGGAUGAGAUGCAUCAGCAGAUGAAGGAGAUGAAGGAGAGCUUCCAGCAGCAGAUCCUCAGCGAGACCCGCAAGGUGUGCGAGGCGGAGGAGCGUGCACGUGAGCGCGCUCAGUCUGCGGAGCUGCGGGUGGCUGGUCUGGAGCAGCGGGUGUCUGAGCUGUCGGAGCUGCUGGGAUCCUGCGAGAAGGCGAAGCAGCGAGACCAGCAGACCACCCAGAGGCUCCGAGACCGGAUCCUGCAGCUGGACACGGAGAACAAGACGCUGGCCAUCGCCGCCUCCAGCAGAACGUCCUCCGACCUCAGCCUGGACGAGUCCCAGCUGGACGUGGGCGUGCUGAAGGACAAGCUGCAGAAGGUGAAGAAGCUGCUGCUGCUGGCGUCUCAGAGAAACACCGACCCGAACAUCCAGGACCUGGCCGAGGCCGAGGAGGACGGCACGGUGGCGCUGGUCUACCAGCAGGAGCUCCGGCAGGUGAAGGAGGAGUUUGAGCGCUACAAGCUGCGGGCCCAGGUGGUGCUGAAGAACAAGAACGCCAAAGACGGCUGCCAGGCCAAGGAGCUGGAGGAGGUGAGGGACCAGCUGUCCGAGCUCCGGGAGAAGUACAUCAACCUGCGGAUCCAGAGCGACGAGGCCGAGGCUCGGCACCGGCAGCAGCUGGAGGAGCGACAGCAGCAGGCGACGGCGCUGCAGCACGCCCACAAACAGGAAGCGGAGCGGGCGGAGACACUGCACCGCGAAGAGCUGCUGCGUCUGGAGGCGGAGCUCCACAAGCAGCGGGAGAGGACCAUGGCGCUGCUGGACGAGAAGGACCAGGAGCUGGAGAGGCUGCGGGCCGCCGUCCUGACCUGCAGCUACAGCGCCGACGGCCCGGCCGACGACACGCAGCCGGCUGACCCGGAGAGCGAGGGUGACAUCAUCAGCCAGGCCCUGCGGCAGGCCACGCCCACUGAGUCCACGCUGCUGCUGUACGCCGAGCAGCUCGCCAGGAAGGAGGUGGAGGCGGGCGGCCUGCGGCGGCAGAAGAACCGGCUGGAGGAGGACGUCCACCAGCUGCAGGCCAAGCUCAUCGCCAACGGGGAGCGCCACGACGAGGAGGUAUCGGACCUGCGGGGGCGACUCGACAAGCUGGUCCGGGACCAGAGCAGAGAGGGCGCCAACAUGGAGUACCUGAAGAACGUCAUCUACAGGUUCCUCACGCUGCAGGACUCCAGCGGCAGGAGUCAGACGCUCAACGCCAUCCUCACCAUCCUGCACUUCAGCCCCCAGGAGAAACAUGACGUCAUGAGGCUGCAGGGGCCAAGCUGGUGGGGCCCCAACAGGAGGUAGAACGCCUGAGAGAGAACCUGGUGGGGCCCCAACAGGAGGUAGAACACCUGAGAGAGAACCUGGUGGGGCCUCAACAGGAGGUAGAACACCUGAGAGAGAACCUGGUGGGGCCCCAACAGGAGGUAGAACACCUGAGAGAGAACCUGGUGGGGCCUCAACAGGAGGUAGAACACCUGAGAGAGAACCUGGUGGGGCCCCAACAGGAGGUAGAACGCCUGAGAAAGAACCUGGUGGGGCCUCAACAGGAGGUAGAACGCCUGAGAAAGAACCUGGUGGGGCCUCAACAGGAGGUAGAACGCCUGAGAAAGAACCUGGUGGGGCCUCAACAGGAGGUAGAACGCCUGAGAAAGAACCUGGUGGGGCCUCAACAGGAGGUAGAACGCCUGAGAAAGAACCUGGUGGGGCCUCAACAGGAGGUAGAACACCUGAGAGAGAACCUGAUGGGGC